GUACCGUUAGCUCAGGUGGUUAGAGCGUCCGUCUCAUAAACGGAAGUGCUUAGGUUCAAUCCCUAAACGGUACA
Molecule: transfer RNA, 74 nt
Filed under: Caudoviricetes sp.
Lineage: Duplodnaviria; Heunggongvirae; Uroviricota; Caudoviricetes
Description: tRNA-Met
Rfam family: tRNA
About the family: Transfer RNA (tRNA) molecules are approximately 80 nucleotides in length. Their secondary structure includes four short double-helical elements and three loops (D, anti-codon, and T loops).
Source: RNAcentral